UACGGGGGGGGCAAGCGUUGUUCGGAAUUACUGGGCGUAAAGGGCUCGUAGGCGGCCAUCUCAGUCAGACGUGAAAUCCCUCGGCUCAACCGGGGAACUGCGUCCGAUACUGCGAGGCUCGAAUCUGGGAGAGGGAUGCGGAAUUCCAGGUGUGGCGGUGAAAUGCGUAGAUAUCUGGAGGAACACCGGUGGCGAAGGCGGCAUCCUGGACCGGCAUUGACGCUGAGGAGCGAAAGCCAGGGGAGCAAAC
RNAcentral lists this ribosomal RNA (250 nucleotides) under uncultured bacterium. RNAcentral describes it as "partial 16S ribosomal RNA". It matches the Rfam family "Bacterial small subunit ribosomal RNA", at positions 524 to 773 of the family's 1533-position model. The record is from RNAcentral.